Molecule: ribosomal RNA, 1032 nt
Filed under: Cosmospora ustulinae
Lineage: Eukaryota; Fungi; Ascomycota; Sordariomycetes; Hypocreales; Nectriaceae
Description: SSU rRNA
Rfam family: Eukaryotic small subunit ribosomal RNA
Source: RNAcentral
UAGCAAUUAUACCGCGAAACUGCGAAUGGCUCAUUAUAUAAGUUAUCGUUUAUUUGAUAGUACCUUACUACUUGGAUAACCGUGGUAAUUCUAGAGCUAAUACAUGCUAAAAAUCCCGACUUCGGAAGGGAUGUAUUUAUUAGAUUAAAAACCAAUGCCCUUCGGGGCUCCUUGGUGAUUCAUGAUAACUUCUCGAAUCGCAUGGCCUUGUGCCGGCGAUGGUUCAUUCAAAUUUCUUCCCUAUCAACUUUCGAUGUUUGGGUAUUGGCCAAACAUGGUUGCAACGGGUAACGGAGGGUUAGGGCUCGACCCCGGAGAAGGAGCCUGAGAAACGGCUACUACAUCCAAGGAAGGCAGCAGGCGCGCAAAUUACCCAAUCCCGACUCGGGGAGGUAGUGACAAUAAAUACUGAUACAGGGCUCUUUUGGGUCUUGUAAUUGGAAUGAGUACAAUUUAAAUCCCUUAACGAGGAACAAUUGGAGGGCAAGUCUGGUGCCAGCAGCCGCGGUAAUUCCAGCUCCAAUAGCGUAUAUUAAAGUUGUUGUGGUUAAAAAGCUCGUAGUUGAACCUUGGGCCUGGCUGGCCGGUCCGCCUCACCGCGUGUACUGGUCCGGCCGGGCCUUUCCCUCUGUGGAACCCCAUGCCCUUCACUGGGUGUGGCGGGGAAACAGGACUUUUACUUUGAAAAAAUUAGAGUGCUCCAGGCAGGCCUAUGCUCGAAUACAUUAGCAUGGAAUAAUAGAAUAGGACGUGUGGUUCUAUUUUGUUGGUUUCUAGGACCGCCGUAAUGAUUAAUAGGGACAGUCGGGGGCAUCAGUAUUCAAUUGUCAGAGGUGAAAUUCUUGGAUUUAUUGAAGACUAACUACUGCGAAAGCAUUUGCCAAGGAUGUUUUCAUUAAUCAGGAACGAAAGUUAGGGGAUCGAAGACGAUCAGAUACCGUCGUAGUCUUAACCAUAAACUAUGCCGACUAGGGAUCGGACGAUGUUAUUUUUUGACUCGUUCGGCACCUUACGAGAAAUCAAAGUGCUGGC